Molecule: ribosomal RNA, 253 nt
Filed under: uncultured bacterium
Lineage: Bacteria
Description: partial 16S ribosomal RNA
Rfam family: Bacterial small subunit ribosomal RNA
Source: RNAcentral
UACAGAGGGUGCAAGCGUUGUUCGGAAUUACUGGGCGUAAAGGGUUCGUAGGUGGCCAACUAAGUCAGACGUGAAAUCCCUCAGCUUAACUGGGGAACUGCGUCUGAUACUGGAUGGCUUGAGUGUAGGAGAGGAAUGCGGAAUUCCAGGUGUAGCGGUGAAAUGCGUAGAUAUCUGGAGGAACACCGGUGGCGAAGGCGGCAUUCUGGACUACAACUGACACUGAGGAACGAAAGCCAGGGGAGCAAACGGG